ACUCAAAUGAAUAGACGGGGGCCCGCACAAGCGGUGGAGCAUGUGGAUUAAUUCGAUGCAACGCGAAGAACCUUACCAAGGCUUGACAUGGAGACGACAGGUGCAGAAAUGUACCCUUUCUUCGGAACGUCUCACACAGGUGGUGCAUGGUUGUCGUCAGCUCGUGUCGUGAGAUGUUGGGUUAAGUCCCGCAACGAGCGCAACCCUUAUCUUCAGUUACCAACGGGUAAUGCCGGGAACCCUGGAGAGACUGCCGUGGAUAACACGGAGGAAGGUGGGGAUGAUGUCAAAUCAUCAUGCCCCUUACGCCUUGGGCUUCACACGUGCUACAAUGGUCUCUACAAAGUGAUGCAAAACAGUGAUGUGGAGCGGACCACAAAAAGAGACCCCAGUUCGGAUUGUAGGCUGCAACUCGCCUGCAUGAAGUUGGAAUCGCUAGUAAUCGCGAAUCAGCAUGUCGCGGUGAAUACGUUCCCGGGCCUUGCACACACCGCCCGU
Molecule: ribosomal RNA, 498 nt
Filed under: uncultured bacterium
Lineage: Bacteria
Description: bacterial SSU rRNA
Rfam family: Bacterial small subunit ribosomal RNA
Source: RNAcentral